GACGAACGCUGGCGGCGUGCUUAACACAUGCAAGUCGAACGGAAAGGCCCUGCUUUUGUGGGGUGCUCGAGUGGCGAACGGGUGAGUAACACGUGAGUAACCUGCCCUUGACUUUGGGAUAACUUCAGGAAACUGGGGCUAAUACCGGAUAGGAGCUCCUGCUGCAUGGUGGGGGUUGGAACGUUUCGGCGGUUGGGGAUGGACUCGCGGCUUAUCAGCUUGUUGGUGGGGUAGUGGCUUACCAAGGCUUUGACGGGUAGCCGGCCUGAGAGGGUGACCGGCCACAUUGGGACUGAGAUACGGCGCAGACUCCUACGGGAGGCAGCAGUGGGGAAUAUUGCACAAUGGGAGGACGCCUGAUGCAGCAACGCCGCGUGCGUGAUGACGGCCUUCGGGUUGUAAACCGCUUUCGCCUAUGACGAAGCGUGAGUGACGGUAAUGGGUAAAGAAGCACCGGCUAACUACGUG
RNAcentral lists this ribosomal RNA (468 nucleotides) under uncultured bacterium. Its description in RNAcentral is "partial 16S ribosomal RNA". It matches the Rfam family "Bacterial small subunit ribosomal RNA", at positions 28 to 507 of the family's 1533-position model. The record is from RNAcentral.